RNAcentral lists this ribosomal RNA (445 nucleotides) under uncultured bacterium. Its description in RNAcentral is "bacterial SSU rRNA". It matches the Rfam family "Bacterial small subunit ribosomal RNA", at positions 329 to 792 of the family's 1533-position model. The record is from RNAcentral.
GCCCAGACUCCUACGGGAGGCAGCAGUGGGGAAUAUUGCACAAUGGGGGAAACCCUGAUGCAGCGAUGCCGCGUGGAGGAAGAAGGUUUUCGGAUUGUAAACUCCUUUUAUCAGGGACGAUGAUGACGGUACCUGAAGAAAAAGCAUCGGCUAACUCCGUGCCAGCAGCCGCGGUAAUACGGAGGAUGCGAGCGUUAUCCGGAUUUAUUGGGUUUAAAGGGUGCGUAGGCGGGACCUUAAGUCAGCGGUAAAAUUGCGGUGCUCAACGCCGUAGAGCCGUUGAAACUGGGGUUCUUGAGUGAGCGAGAAGUAUGCGGAAUGCGUGGUGUAGCGGUGAAAUGCAUAGAUAUCGCGCAGAACUCCGAUUGCGAAGGCAGCAUGCCGGCUCCACACUGACGCUGAGGCACGAAAGCGUGGGUAUCGAACAGGAUUAGAUACCCUUGUA